RNAcentral lists this transfer RNA (96 nucleotides) under Myxococcales bacterium. RNAcentral describes it as "tRNA-Sec". It matches the Rfam family "Selenocysteine transfer RNA". Lineage: Bacteria; Pseudomonadati; Myxococcota; Myxococcia; Myxococcales. The record is from RNAcentral.
GGAAGUGCUCGUCGAUCUGGUGACGGCCUCGGGCUUCAAACCCGAUGGGGGGCAUGGAGACAUGUCCUCGGGGGGUUCGAUUCCCCUGCGCUUCCG